Molecule: ribosomal RNA, 493 nt
Filed under: uncultured bacterium
Lineage: Bacteria
Description: partial 16S ribosomal RNA
Rfam family: Bacterial small subunit ribosomal RNA
Source: RNAcentral
AUUGAACGCUGGCGGCAUGCUCUACACAUGCAAGUCGAACGGUAACAGGUUAAGCUGACGAGUGGCGAACGGGUGAGUAAUGCAUCGGAACGUGCCCGGUCGUGGGGGAUAACGCAGCGAAAGCUGCGCUAAUACCGCAUAUGAUCUGAGGAUGAAAGCGGGGGACCGUAAGGCCUCGCGCGAUCGGAGCGGCCGAUGUCAGAUUAGGUAGUUGGUGGGGUAAAGGCUCACCAAGCCAACGAUCUGUAGCUGGUCUGAGAGGACGACCAGCCACACUGGGACUGAGACACGGCCCAGACUCCUACGGGAGGCAGCAGUGGGGAAUUUUGGACAAUGGGCGAAAGCCUGAUCCAGCAAUGCCGCGUGCAGGAAGAAGGCCUUCGGGUUGUAAACUGCUUUUGUACGGAGCGAAAAGGUCUCCUCUAAUUCAGGGGGCUCAUGACGGUACCGUAAGAAUAAGCACCGGCUAACUACGUGCCAGCAGCCGCCGUAA